UGGGGAAUAUUGCACAAUGGGCGCAAGCCUGAUGCAGCCAUGCCGCGUGUAUGAAGAAGGCCUUCGGGUUGUAAAGUACUUUCAGCGGGGAGGAAGGCGAUAAGGUUAAUAACCUUGUCGAUUGACGUUACCCGCAGAAGAAGCACCGGCUAACUCCGUGCCAGCAGCCGCGGUAAUACGGAGGGUGCAAGCGUUAAUCGGAAUUACUGGGCGUAAAGCGCACGCAGGCGGUCUGUCAAGUCGGACGUGAAAUCCCCGGGCUCAACCUGGGAACUGCAUUCGAAACUGGCAGGCUAGAGUCUUGUAGAGGGGGGUAGAAUUCCAGGUGUAGCGGUGAAAUGCGUAGAGAUCUGGAGGAAUACCGGUGGCGAAGGCGGCCCCCUGGACAAAGACUGACGCUCAGGUGCGAAAGCGUGGGGAGCAAACA
RNAcentral lists this ribosomal RNA (427 nucleotides) under uncultured bacterium. RNAcentral describes it as "partial 16S ribosomal RNA". It matches the Rfam family "Bacterial small subunit ribosomal RNA", at positions 355 to 774 of the family's 1533-position model. The record is from RNAcentral.